GACGAACGCUGGCGGCGUGCCUAAUACAUGCAAGUAGAACGCUGAAGAGAGGAGCUUGCUCUUCUUGGAUGAGUUGCGAACGGGUGAGUAACGCGUAGGUAACCUGCCUUGUAGCGGGGGAUAACUAUUGGAAACGAUAGCUAAUACCGCAUAACAAUGGAUGACACAUGUCAUUUAUUUGAAAGGGGCAAUUGCUCCACUACAAGAUGGACCUGCGUUGUAUUAGCUAGUAGGUGAGGUAACGGCUCACCUAGGCGACGAUACAUAGCCGACCUGAGAGGGUGAUCGGCCACACUGGGACUGAGACACGGCCCAGACUCCUACGGGAGGCAGCAGUAGGGAAUCUUCGGCAAUGGGGGCAACCCUGACCGAGCAACGCCGCGUGAGUGAAGAAGGUUUUCGGAUCGUAAAGCUCUGUUGUAAGUCAAGAACGAGUGUGAGAGUGGAAAGUUCACACUGUGACGGUAGCUUACCAGAAAGGGACGGCUAACUACGUGCCAGCAGCCGCGGUAAUACGUAGGUCCCGAGCGUUGUCCGGAUUUAUUGGGCGUAAAGCGAGCGCAGGCGGUUUGAUAAGUCUGAAGUUAAAGGCUGUGGCUCAACCAUAGUUCGCUUUGGAAACUGUCAAACUUGAGUGCAGAAGGGGAGAGUGGAAUUCCAUGUGUAGCAGUGAAAUGCGUAGAUAUAUGGAGGAACACCGGUGGCGAAAGCGGCUCUCUGGUCUGUAACUGACGCUGAGGCUCGAAAGCGUGGGGAGCGAACAGGAUUAGAUACCCUGGUAGUCCACGCCGUAAACGAUGAGUGCUAGGUGUUGGAUCCUUUCCGGGAUUCAGUGCCGCAGCUGACGCAUUAAGCACUCCGCCUGGGGAGUACGACCGCAAGGUUGAAACUCAAAGGAAUUGACGGGGGCCCGCACAAGCGGUGGAGCAUGUGGUUUAAUUCGAAGCAACGCGAAGAACCUUACCAGGUCUUGACAUCCCGAUGCUAUUUCUAGAGAUAGAAAGUUACUUCGGUACAUCGGUGACAGGUGGUGCAUGGUUGUCGUCAGCUCGUGUCGUGAGAUGUUGGGUUAAGUCCCGCAACGAGCGCAACCCCUAUUGUUAGUUGCCAUCAUUCAGUUGGGCACUCUAGCGAGACUGCCGGUAAUAAACCGGAGGAAGGUGGGGAUGACGUCAAAUCAUCAUGCCCCUUAUGACCUGGGCUACACACGUGCUACAAUGGUUGGUACAACGAGUUGCGAGUCGGUGACGGCAAGCUAAUCUCUUAAAGCCAACCUCAGUUCGGAUUGUAGGCUGCAACUCGCCUACAUGAAGUCGGAAUCGCUAGUAAUCGCGGAUCAGCACGCCGCGGUGAAUACGUUCCCGGGCCU
This 1369-nucleotide ribosomal RNA is filed under the name uncultured bacterium. Its description in RNAcentral is "bacterial SSU rRNA". It matches the Rfam family "Bacterial small subunit ribosomal RNA", at positions 28 to 1381 of the family's 1533-position model. The record is from RNAcentral.